Oncorhynchus gorbuscha (pink salmon) is the source of this 861-nucleotide long non-coding RNA. RefSeq lists it as uncharacterized. The transcript is spliced from 3 exons. NCBI's taxonomy places the organism in Eukaryota, Metazoa, Chordata, Actinopteri, Salmoniformes, Salmonidae. The record is from RefSeq and is a predicted model, not a curated record.
AUUGAUUUAACCUGUUUUAAAUGAUGCGACACAACCAAUAUAAGCCAGUUCAGAGAGCAAACAGGUUGUUGAAGGUGGGAAGGAGAAAGUCUGAGAAUGGAUAGAAGAAACAAUGUGAGUGGACGAGAACGUGUGCGUAUGCGAGGUGGGCGACGAGGAGGAAGAGGAGGAGGAGGGCAAGAAAGAGGAAGAGGAGGAUGAAGAGGAAGAGGACGACAAAGAGUGGAAAUAUCUGAUGAAAUUCGAGCAACGGUUAAAGACCAUGUUCUUGUCCAUAGACUGACAAUCAGGGAAGCAGGACUGCAACCCAAUUUGAGCCGAUUUUCUGUGUCCACCAUAAUAAGGACAUUCAGAGAAGAGAACAGAAUUGCAAGGCUGUCACGUGCAGGUGGAAGGACAGCUAAAUUCACUCAGGAGCAAGAGGCCGUUAUAGUUGGCAUGGUCCUUCAAGAUAAUGUAAUAUGACUCAGAGAAAUCCAGGAACGAGUGAUACAAGACAACACACACUUCCAGGGAAUUGACAGUGUGACCAUUUCCAAAAUUGACCGUGUCCUCCAUCGUAACAGGAUGUGAAUGAAAAAAAGGAUACAGAGUACCUUUUGAGCGCAACUCAAAAGUGAAAGAACUGCGAGCUCAGUAUGUGCAAACAAUAUUUGACUCGGAAUCCUUGGACAGACCCCAUGAGUUCAUCUUUGUCGGUGAAGCAGGCUUCAAUCUAACAAAGAGGAGAAGGAGAGGCCGAAACCUGAUUGGACAGCGGACCAUUGUUGAAGUCCCUGGUCAACGAGGUGGCAAUGUCACAAUCUGUGCUGCUAUCAGCAACCAUGGUGUUCUACAUCACCAUGUUACACUCGGGCCAUA